CCGGUGUUAAACCGGAGGAAGGUGGGGAGUGACGUCAAGUCCUCAUGGCCUUUAUGUCUGGGGCUACACACGUACUACAAUGGCUGCCACAGAGGGAUGCGAAGUCGUGAGGCGAAGCAAAUCUCAAAAAAGCAGCCUCAGUUCAGAUUGCAGUCUGCAACUCGACUGCAUGAAGGUGGAAUCGCUAGUAAUCGCAGAUCAGCACGCUGCGGUGAAUACGUUCCCGGGCCUU
RNAcentral lists this ribosomal RNA (232 nucleotides) under uncultured Desulfuromonadales bacterium. Its description in RNAcentral is "partial 16S ribosomal RNA". It matches the Rfam family "Bacterial small subunit ribosomal RNA", at positions 1152 to 1382 of the family's 1533-position model. The record is from RNAcentral. Lineage: Bacteria; Pseudomonadati; Thermodesulfobacteriota; Desulfuromonadia; Desulfuromonadales.